UACGUAGGGCGCAAGCGUUGUCCGGAAUUAUUGGGCGUAAAGGGCGCGUAGGCGGCGCGGUAAGUCACUUGUGAAAUCUCUGAGCUUAACUCAGAACGGCCAAGUGAUACUGCAGUGCUAGAGUGUGGAAGGGGCAAUCGGAAUUCUUGGUGUAGCGGUGAAAUGCGUAGAUAUCAAGAGGAACACCUGAGGUGAAGACGGGUUGCUGGGCCAACACUGACGCUGAUGCGCGAAAGCCAGGGGAGCAAACGGG
RNAcentral lists this ribosomal RNA (253 nucleotides) under uncultured bacterium. Its description in RNAcentral is "partial 16S ribosomal RNA". It matches the Rfam family "Bacterial small subunit ribosomal RNA", at positions 524 to 776 of the family's 1533-position model. The record is from RNAcentral.